Molecule: ribosomal RNA, 700 nt
Filed under: uncultured bacterium
Lineage: Bacteria
Description: bacterial SSU rRNA
Rfam family: Bacterial small subunit ribosomal RNA
Source: RNAcentral
AGUCGAACGGACUCAUAUUGAAACCUAGUGAUUUAUGAGUUAGUGGCGGUACGGGUGAGUAACGCGUGGAAAACCUGCCGUAUACCGGGGGAUAACACUUAGAAAUAGGUGCUAAUACCGCAUAAGCGCACAGCUUCGCAUGAAGCAGUGUGAAAAACUCCGGUGGUAUACGAUGGUUCCGCGUCUGAUUAGCUAGUUGGCGGGGUAACGGCCCACCAAGGCAGCGAUCAGUAGCCGGCCUGAGAGGGUGAACGGCCACAUUGGGACUGAGACACGGCCCAAACUCCUACGGGAGGCAGCAGUGGGGAAUAUUGCACAAUGGGGGAAACCCUGAUGCAGCGACGCCGCGUGAGUGAAGAAGUAUUUCGGUACGUAAAGCUCUAUCAGCAGGGAAGAAAAUGACGGUACCUGACUAAGAAGCCCCGGCUAACUACGUGCCAGCAGCCGCGGUAAUACGUAGGGGGCAAGCGUUAUCCGGAUUUAUUGGGUUUAAAGGGUGCGUAGGCGGCAUUAUAAGUUAGUGGUAAAAUAUUGGGGCUUCACCUCACUACGCCAUUAAUACUGUAGAGCUAGAGAACAGACGAGGUAGGCGGAAUAAGUUAAGUAGCGGUGAAAUGCAUAGAUAUAACUUAGAACACCGAUAGCGAAGGCAGCUUACCAGACUGAGUCUGACGCUGAUGCACGAGAGCAUGGGUAGCGA